GUCUGAAUAGGGCGCUUAGUCAGAUGCUGCAGACCCGAAACGAAGUGAUCUAUCCAUGAGCAAGUUGAAGCUAGUGUAAGAACUAGUGGAGGACUGAACCCAUAGGCGUUGAAAAGCCCCGGGAUGACUUGUGGAUAGGGGUGAAAGGCCAAUCAAACUUCGUGAUAGCUGGUUCUCUCCGAAAUAUAUUUAGGUAUAGCGUUGUGUCGUAAUAUAAGGGGGUAGAGCACUGAAUGGGCUAGGGCAUACACCAAUGUACCAAACCCUAUCAAACUCCGAAUACCUUAUAUGUAAUCACAGCAGUCAGGCGGCGAGUGAUAAAAUCCGUCGUCAAGAGGGAAACAACCCAGACUACCAGCUAAGGUCCCUAAAUCUUACUUAAGUGGAAAACGAUGUGAAGUUACUUAAACAACCAGGAGGUUGGCUUAGAAGCAGCCAUCCUUUAAAGAAAGCGUAAUAGCUCACUGGUCUAGUGAUUUUGCGCGGAAAAUAUAACGGGGCUAAAGUAAGUACCGAAGCUGUAGACUUGACUUUGUCAAGUGGUAGGAGAGCGUUCUAUUUGCGUCGAAGGUAUACCGGUAAGGAGUGCUGGAGCGAAUAGAAGUGAGCAUGCAGGCAUGAGUAGCGAUAAUUAAUGUGAGAAUCAUUAACGCCGUAAACCCAAGGUUUCCUACGCGAUGCUCGUCAUCGUAGGGUUAGUCGGGUCCUAAGUCGAGUCCGAAAGGGGUAGACGAUGGCAAAUUGGUUAAUAUUCCAAUACCAACAUUAGUGUGCGAUGGAAGGACGCUUAGGGCUAAGGGGGCUAGCGGAUGGAAGUGCUAGUCUAAGGUCGUAGGUGCUUAUACAGGCAAAUCCGUAUAAGAAUACACCGAGAACUGAAAGGCUUUUUGAAGUCUUCGGAUGGAUAGAAGAACCCCUGAUGCCGUCGAGCCAAGAAAAGUUUCUAAGUUUAGCUAAUGUUGCCCGUACCGUAAACCGACACAGGUGGGUGGGAUGAGUAUUCUAAGGCGCGUGGAAGAACUCUCUUUAAGGAACUCUGCAAAAUAGCACCGUAUCUUCGGUAUAAGGUGUGGUUCGCUUCGUAUUAGGAUUUACUCCGAAAGCGAAGAAACUUACAACAAAGAGUCCCUCCCGACUGUUUACCAAAAACACAGCACUCUGCUAACUCGUAAGAGGAUGUAUAGGGUGUGACGCCUGCCCGGUGCUCGAAGGUUAAUUGAUGGGGUUAGCAUUAGCGAAGCUCUUGAUCGAAGCCCGAGUAAACGGCGGCCGUAACUAUAACGGUCCUAAGGUAGCGAAAUUCCUUGUCGGUUAAAUACCGACCUGCAUGAAUGGCGUAACGAGAUGGGAGCUGUCUCAAAGAGGGAUCCAGUGAAAUUGUAGUGGAGGUGAAAAUUCCUCCUACCCGCGGCAAGACGGAAAGACCCCGUGGACCUUUACUACAGCUUGACACUGCUAUUUGGAUAAGAAUGUGCAGGAUAGGUGGGAGGCUUUGAGUAUAUGACGCCAGUUGUAUAUGAGCCAUUGUUGAGAUACCACUCUUUCUUAUUUGGGUAGCUAACCAGCUUGAGUUAUCCUCAAGUGGGACAAUGUCUGGUGGGUAGUUUGACUGGGGCGGUCGCCUCCCAAAUAAUAACGGAGGCUUACAAAGGUUGGCUCAGAACGGUUGGAAAUCGUUCGUAGAGUAUAAAGGUAUAAGCCAGCUUAACUGCAAGACAUACAAGUCAAGCAGAGACGAAAGUCGGUCUUAGUGAUCCGGUGGUUCUGUGUGGAAGGGCCAUCGCUCAAAGGAUAAAAGGUACCCCGGGGAUAACAGGCUGAUCUCCCCCAAGAGCUCACAUCGACGGGGAGGUUUGGCACCUCGAUGUCGGCUCAUCGCAUCCUGGGGCUGGAGCAGGUCCCAAGGGUAUGGCUGUUCGCCAUUUAAAGCGGUACGCGAGCUGGGUUCAGAACGUCGUGAGACAGUUCGGUCCCUAUCUGCCGUGGGCGUAAGAAGAUUGAAGAGAUUUGACCCUAGUACGAGAGGACCGGGUUGAACAAACCACUGGUGUAGCUGUUGUUCUGCCAAGAGCAUCGCAGCGUAGCUAAGUUUGGAAAGGAUAAACGCUGAAAGCAUCUAAGCGUGAAGCCAACUCUAAGAUGAAUCUUCUCUAAGCUCUCUAGAAGACUACUAGUUUGAUAGGCUGGGUGUGUAAUGGAUGAAAGUCCUUUAGCUGACCAGUACUAAUAGAGCGUUUGGCUUAUCUUUAAUAAAGCAU
This 2258-nucleotide ribosomal RNA is filed under the name Campylobacter coli. RNAcentral describes it as "partial 23S ribosomal RNA". It matches the Rfam family "Bacterial large subunit ribosomal RNA", at positions 681 to 2925 of the family's 2925-position model. The record is from RNAcentral. Lineage: Bacteria; Pseudomonadati; Campylobacterota; Epsilonproteobacteria; Campylobacterales; Campylobacteraceae.